RNAcentral lists this ribosomal RNA (253 nucleotides) under uncultured bacterium. Its description in RNAcentral is "partial 16S ribosomal RNA". It matches the Rfam family "Bacterial small subunit ribosomal RNA", at positions 524 to 776 of the family's 1533-position model. The record is from RNAcentral.
UACAGAGGGUGCAAGCGUUAAUCGGAUUUACUGGGCGUAAAGGGCGCGUAGGCGGUUAGUUAAGUGAGAUGUGAAAGCCCUGGGCUUAGCCUAGGAACUGCAUCUUAAACUGACUAGCUAGAGUACUGUAGAGGGUAGUGGAAUUUCCGGUGUAGCGGUGAAAUGCGUAGAGAUCGGAAGGAACACCAGUGGCGAAGGCGGCUACCUGGACAGAUACUGACGCUGAGGCGCGAAAGCGUGGGGAGCAAACAGG